UUUCAGAGUCAACUGGAAAUUGUAAUUAUCAUUUUUGCCCCACUGUAAUAUUGCUGAAGUUAGUCAGUGACUGAACCAGAGUCUAAGGAAACGUAAGAAUGUAUUGGUUUCCUUCUUUAGCAACCUGGCCGUGACCAUAAGGCGUAUGUCUUUUCAAAGGGCGUCAAACUCGGGAAACUGCACGUAAGAGGCACUGUUUACCGUUCAACUGGCCGAACUCGUAGGGGGUAAUACCGCCACCGCACCACUUCUCAUUCAAACUCUGUUAACCGGCUCCAGGAAAACGAGCGGCGGACUCUCAGGAAUGGACUUGCAGUAUUAUGACCCGGGGGGCGGGUUGCAUUCAUCGGGCAUUUUCAACUAGGUAACUUAAGCCAGGAAGCAAGAAUGUCCACUAGGAGAAUGGAUAAGGGCAAUUCUAGACUUUCUUUCUAAACUUUAGUGAGUUUAUGAAUAUCCACCCGUUUGUCCAUGAAUGAAUGAAUAAAUGAACGAAUGAAUUCA
Long non-coding RNA from Electrophorus electricus (electric eel), 504 nucleotides. RefSeq lists it as uncharacterized. The record is from RefSeq and is a predicted model, not a curated record. NCBI's taxonomy places the organism in Eukaryota, Metazoa, Chordata, Actinopteri, Gymnotiformes, Gymnotidae.